This 378-nucleotide ribosomal RNA is filed under the name uncultured bacterium. RNAcentral describes it as "bacterial SSU rRNA". It matches the Rfam family "Bacterial small subunit ribosomal RNA", at positions 790 to 1167 of the family's 1533-position model. The record is from RNAcentral.
GUAGUCCUUGCCGUAAACGAUGUAUACUUGGUGUAACUGGACUCAACCCCGGUUGUGCCGUAGCAAACGCGUUAAGUAUACCGCCUGGGGAGUACAGUCGCAAGGCUGAAACUCAAAAGAAUUGACGGGGACCCGCACAAGCAGUGGAGCAUGUGGUUUAAUUCGAUGCAACGCGAAAAACCUUACCCAGGCUUGACAUGCACUGGACGAUACCAGAAAUGGUAUUUCCCUUCGGGGCCGGUGCACAGGUGCUGCAUGGCUGUCGUCAGCUCGUGCCGUGAGGUGUUUGGUUAAGUCCAGCAACGAGCGCAACCCUUAUCAUUAGUUGCCAACACGUUAUGGUGGGAACUCUAAUGAGACUGCCUGGGUUAACCAGGA